CGACCGGCAAACGGGUGCGGAACACGUACACAACUUUCCUUUAAGUGGGGGAUAGCCCAGAGAAAUUUGGAUUAAUACCCCGUAAUAUUAUGAAGUGGCAUCAUUUUAUAAUUAUAGCUCCGGCGCUUGAAGAUGGGUGUGCGGCUGAUUAGGUAGUUGGCAGGGUAAUGGCCCACCAAGGCUUUGAUCGGUAGCCGGCCUGAGAGGGCGCACGGCCACACUGGAACUGAAACACGGUCCAG
RNAcentral lists this ribosomal RNA (242 nucleotides) under uncultured bacterium. RNAcentral describes it as "partial 16S ribosomal RNA". It matches the Rfam family "Bacterial small subunit ribosomal RNA", at positions 92 to 334 of the family's 1533-position model. The record is from RNAcentral.